This 325-nucleotide long non-coding RNA is filed under the name Lepisosteus oculatus (spotted gar). RNAcentral's name for it is "lncRNA (ENSLOCG00000022114.1)". The record is from RNAcentral. Lineage: Eukaryota; Metazoa; Chordata; Actinopteri; Semionotiformes; Lepisosteidae.
GUGGAAGACAAAACAUCAGAGAAUUAUACACAGCUUUAUGAUUAUGUGAUACAGAUUAAUAAAGAGGCACUUAUAGAUGAGUCGGAUUUCAAAGAAACAAUUGUGAAAGGCAUUAGACACACUGGAGGAAGUACAUAUAUUUCCAGGAGUGGAAGUGCACUGGAGGUGGACUUUAUAAAUAUGUUUUCAACAACAUUCGAAAAAGGACCAGACGUCGUGGACACAAAAAUUAUAAAUUACCUUAAGGAAGCACAAUUGCCAAAUAUUAUAUUUCGCAGUAAGUAAUCAAAUGGUUAAAUGUGUUGUUAUGCUGAGGGUUAAGUUU